GAUGAACGCUGGCGGCGUGCCUAACACAUGCAAGUCGAACGAAGCGCCUGGCCCCGACUUCUUCGGAUGAAGACCUUUGUGACUGAGCGGCGGACGGGUGAGUAACGCGUGGGUAACCUGCCUCAUACAGGGGGAUAACAGUUAGAAAUGACUGCUAAUACCUCAUAAGACCACAGUACCGCAUGGUACAGGGGUAAAAACUCCGGUGGUAUGAGAUGGACCCGCGUCUGAUUAGCUGGUUGGUGGGGUAACGGCCUACCAAGGCGAUGAUCAGUAGCCGGCCUGAGAGGGCGACCGGCCACAUUGGGACUGAGACACGGGCCCAAAUCCUACGGGAGCAGCAGUGGGGAAUAUUGCACAAUGGGGGAAACCCUGAUGCAGCGACGCCGCGUGAAGGAA
This 399-nucleotide ribosomal RNA is filed under the name uncultured bacterium. Its description in RNAcentral is "bacterial SSU rRNA". It matches the Rfam family "Bacterial small subunit ribosomal RNA", at positions 28 to 409 of the family's 1533-position model. The record is from RNAcentral.